CAACAACGAAUGUGGUAUUAACCAUUUUUAACUCUUAGCAUUUAUUAGUAGACUUUAAUUCUUUUCAUUGAAUUAUUGAAUAAUUGACCAAGCCCAUAUAUUCCAACAGAAUCAAAAUUGAAUUGCAUCUGUUGCUGCGCAUACAAGCCUGAGUAGCAUCAAGUCUACAGCAAGUCAGCAUACGCAUCAAGAAGGGACAGAGCAUCGAGUUGCUGCGCCCGGAAAUUCAAUUUGUUGAAAAUUGCUAAAUGCACACCGUUGGCUACCGUAAUGAUCCAGCUCCUUGCUAAUUGACAAAGCUCCGACUCGACGACUACUUUGACUACGCCGUGAC
Molecule: long non-coding RNA, 334 nt
Filed under: Setaria viridis
Lineage: Eukaryota; Viridiplantae; Streptophyta; Magnoliopsida; Poales; Poaceae
Description: long non-coding RNA (SVIR_LNC000656)
Source: RNAcentral